GGUUGCGAUCAUACCAGCACUAAUGCACCGGAUCCCAUUAGAACUCCGCAGUUUAGCGUGCUUGGGCGAGAGUAGUACUAGGAUGGGUGACCCCCCUGGGAAGUCCUCGUGUUGCAACCCC
Molecule: ribosomal RNA, 121 nt
Filed under: Helianthus annuus (common sunflower)
Lineage: Eukaryota; Viridiplantae; Streptophyta; Magnoliopsida; Asterales; Asteraceae
Source: RNAcentral